Molecule: ribosomal RNA, 427 nt
Filed under: Macrotermes gilvus
Lineage: Eukaryota; Metazoa; Arthropoda; Insecta; Blattodea; Termitidae
Description: partial 16S ribosomal RNA
Rfam family: Bacterial large subunit ribosomal RNA (bases 1-174)
Source: RNAcentral
CGCCUGUUUAUCAAAAACAUCUUUUCUUGUUAGUUUUUGAAGUAUGGCCUGCCCGCUGAUUUUAGGUUGAAGGGCCGCGGUAUUUUGACCGUGCAAAGGUAGCAUAAUCAUUAGUUCUUUAAUUGUGAUCUGGUAUGAAUGGCUUGACGAGGCAUGGGCUGUCUUGGAUUGGGAUUUUUUAUUGAAUUUGGUUUUUGAGUUAAAAUUCUUAAAUGUUUUUAUGGGACGAGAAGACCCUAUAGAGUUUAACAUUUAUUUAUACGGCUUGUUUUGGUUUGUUGUGUAGUUGCUUUGUUUUAAUGUGUUUUGUUGGGGUGAUGGGAAGAAUUUUCUUAACUCUUCUUUGUUUUGGUAUAUUGAUUUAUAUUAGUUUUGAUCCAUUUAUUUUGAUUAUAAGAUUAAAUUACCUUAGGGAUAACAGCGUAAA